RNAcentral lists this long non-coding RNA (204 nucleotides) under Elaeis guineensis (African oil palm). RNAcentral describes it as "long non-coding RNA (EGUI_LNC078697)". The record is from RNAcentral. Lineage: Eukaryota; Viridiplantae; Streptophyta; Magnoliopsida; Arecales; Arecaceae.
GAGCAGUCAUAAGGAAAUCUACCUUCUCAUCGAUGACUAGCUCGAUGCUACAGUUGUGUGUCUAGUUCUUUGACCUGAGGUGCAUCGACAGUUCACCUUGAAUGUGUUAUAGUUUGACUACAUCAUAACUCGAUCUCCUAGCUAUUCAGAACCCUGAGGUGUAUGUUGGCUGUAGCAUAUCUAUUGUAAGAACCAGAUCGCACC